GACGAACGCUGGCGGCGUGCUUAACACAUGCAAGUCGAACGGAAAGGCCCUGCUUGCAGGGUACUCGAGUGGCGAACGGGUGAGUAACACGUGGGUGAUCUGCCCUGCACUUCGGGAUAAGCCUGGGAAACUGGGUCUAAUACCGGAUAGGAGCCAUCUUUAGUGUGAUGGUUGGAAAGUUUUUUCGGUGUAGGAUGAGCUCGCGGCCUAUCAGCUUGUUGGUGGGGUAAUGGCCUACCAAGGCGGCGACGGGUAGCCGGCCUGAGGGGGUGGACGGCCACAUUGGGACUGGGAUACGGCCCAGACUCCUACGGGGGGCAGCAGUGGGGAAUAUUGCACAAUGGGGGCAAGCCUGAUGCAGCGACGCCGCGUGGGGGAUGACGGCCUUCGGGUUGUAAACUCCUUUCGCUAGGGACGAAGCUUUUUGUGACGGUACCUAGAGAAGAAGCACCGGCUAACUACGUG
Molecule: ribosomal RNA, 465 nt
Filed under: uncultured bacterium
Lineage: Bacteria
Description: partial 16S ribosomal RNA
Rfam family: Bacterial small subunit ribosomal RNA
Source: RNAcentral